CAUUUGAUUCCCUGUUGUAGCCCUGGGAUCAGCCAUCGUUCUUGGGAUCCCUGAUUCCCUUUAGAAACCAAGAUCUGGUGUUGGGAUAAUGGGGCAGUGGGGGAGGAGAGCAUCUCGAGGACUUGACUACUGGUCGACCUUCAAGCUGGACUCUGGGCAGUUGGAGGCUCUUCACCCGUCCCUGUCCUUGGAAUGUACAUUUCACCCCGCAAUCCCAAGUGGAAGCUGGUUUCAAGGAUGCAGCCUUGAGAGAGUAAGGUGUUGCUGAGACCAUCUGGACUGAGUUAAGGCUUUAGCUGAGUAUAGACUUUUAAGAUUCUGGUGGGCGGGUGCAGAGAACUACUCCUUUUGCAGCUGCCCAAGCCUUGUAUGCAAGUCCUCUUGCUUAUUAAACCUAUACCUACCAA
Phacochoerus africanus (Common warthog) is the source of this 407-nucleotide long non-coding RNA. RefSeq lists it as uncharacterized. The record is from RefSeq and is a predicted model, not a curated record. The transcript is spliced from 2 exons. Lineage: Eukaryota; Metazoa; Chordata; Mammalia; Artiodactyla; Suidae.